Molecule: ribosomal RNA, 110 nt
Filed under: Dorea formicigenerans
Lineage: Bacteria; Bacillati; Bacillota; Clostridia; Lachnospirales; Lachnospiraceae
Description: partial 16S ribosomal RNA
Rfam family: Bacterial small subunit ribosomal RNA
Source: RNAcentral
GACCCAACCGAAAGGAGGGAGCUGCCGAAGGUGGGACCGAUAACUGGGGUGAAGUCGUAACAAGGUAGCCGUAUCGGAAGGUGCGGCUGGAUCACCUCCUUUCUAAGGAA